Non-coding RNA from Nerophis lumbriciformis (worm pipefish), 221 nucleotides. The record is from RefSeq and is a predicted model, not a curated record. Lineage: Eukaryota; Metazoa; Chordata; Actinopteri; Syngnathiformes; Syngnathidae.
CUGUCAUUUAAAGGAUCUUUGACGAGAGGAGGAGUUUUUUUCUGGCCGUAUGUUCCCAUAAACAUCAGAGUGAUCCUGUCUUAUGGAGGAUCUUUGAUGAGUGUUUUUGUGGUGGUUCUUUCAAACAGCAGAGUGGUCCUGUCAUAUAAAGGAUCUUUUACUUGCGUUUUUUUUUUUUUCUUAAAACAGCAGAGUGGUCCUGGCUUAUAGAGGAUCUUUAA